Drosophila serrata is the source of this 1492-nucleotide long non-coding RNA. The record is from RefSeq and is a predicted model, not a curated record. NCBI's taxonomy places the organism in Eukaryota, Metazoa, Arthropoda, Insecta, Diptera, Drosophilidae.
UUCCAAUCUGGCUUCGGUACCAAUCACUUAAAAUAUUUGUAUUUUUUCCAACACAAUGUAUCUUAAAUAUUUUUCCACCGACGUAGAAUCCUUUGGUCAUGGUUGUGAAAUCGAAAUUCAAGCGGCAGAAACAAUAUCCGAUUUGAAAUUGAGUCUAGAAAAGAAAGCCAAAAUUCCCAGAGAAUCGUGUGAAAUUGUCUUUGUGAAUGAGAAGAUGUCCGAUGGCGAAAGUCUUUCCGAUGCAGCGAGGACUUGUCUGGAAUAUGAAGUGCCUCCCCCAACCAAUAUGUGCCGCAUUAACGACUUAUUGGCCUUCAGCGGGGGAAAACUCGCGGGGUGGCUCAAGGCCUUCAAGAGUCCAGGAGAAGAGAGUCAGGAGGAGGAGGAGGAGGAAGAGGAACAGGACGACGGGGAAUAUGAUGUUUUCAUCAACAAAGGUUGUCCCGUGUCUUAAUGCGGAGAGCAUCCUUCUCCUAAUUAAUUUCUUCGUUUAUACUUUUUGUUUGGAGCCCAAGGAACGCUUUUGAUGAUCCCAGGAUGCCGCAAUUCCUGUAAUUAAUUUAAAUAAUUUGGCCAAGUGAAAGCCCCGUGGUCAAAUUGAGACAUUUUCGAGUGGUAAUUAAGACAUUUUCAAGAGUUUCUGGCGAAGCAAGAGGAAACUUAAUUGUUUCCAAGCCACUUUCCUGAUAUAUGUGUAUAUAUGUAUUUAAAAGUAAAAUAAUAAUAAUUUUUAAUAGCCAUCAAAUGAUGCUGGACCCACGACGAGUAAUCCCUCCUGGAAUCCAGGAUGCAUCAUUAUCAUUUCAGCUGCAUUGUCAAGGAUAAUCAGCUUAACUAGGAGAACUCCAGUGUUCGAUCCUUAGGCGAGUGCACACGCAAUGGCAUGGGGAUCCUUUGGAAUUUCGAUGCACUCGUGGGCGUUCCUUUUAAUUGCCUGAACCAGGGGAAGGGGAAACUGUAACAAUGACAACAAGUGCACCUUUGUGACCCUUCGCCAGAAGUUAUAUAACAUAACAAUUACGUGGACAAUUGUGCACGCAAUCUGGGCAAAAAAAUGGGAAACAAAGGACAUGUUCUAUUUGUCGGCAUUUCGUGUCUUAUCUGCGGGAACCGCCCAUCCAUAUCGGUGCGAAUAUCUCUAAUUGCAAGUGCAAUGCGAUUGCAACCACUCACGCCUCUCCCUCUCCCUCCUUCCCUCCUUCCCUCUUGGAUGAAGAAAGAUGCUGCGAGAAGAAAAAUCCUGGAAAGAUGUCAGGGACAAACAUAAAUUACAUUAUUCCUUGUCAACAUUUGUGAGUCAAAAACGCGUUCAUGUUAAACAAAUAACUCACUUGUUGGCCGCUCCAGCCUCCAUCUCCAGUCCCCGUCUCUGGUCCAGUCUGCGAGGAGGUUAUUUACGAGACAUCAGUCAUGGGGAACCAUGGGCCGUGAGGCGGUUGUGUUGUAAUCAGAGCAUCCUUAAUAAAUCAUAAAUUUAUUCGUUGCAUGUAAA